RNAcentral lists this ribosomal RNA (552 nucleotides) under uncultured bacterium. RNAcentral's name for it is "partial 16S ribosomal RNA". It matches the Rfam family "Bacterial small subunit ribosomal RNA", at positions 355 to 900 of the family's 1533-position model. The record is from RNAcentral.
UGGGGAAUUUUGGACAAUGGGCGAAAGCCUGAUCCAGCAAUGCCGCGUGUGUGAAGAAGGCCUUCGGGUUGUAAAGCACUUUUGUCCGGAAAGAAAUCCUUGGCUCUAAUACAGUCGGGGGAUGACGGUACCGGAAGAAUAAGCACCGGCUAACUACGUGCCAGCAGCCGCGGUAAUACGUAGGGUGCAAGCGUUAAUCGGAAUUACUGGGCGUAAAGCGUGCGCAGGCGGUUUGCUAAGACCGAUGUGAAAUCCCCGGGCUCAACCUGGGAACUGCAUUGGUGACUGGCAGGCUAGAGUAUGGCAGAGGGGGGUAGAAUUCCACGUGUAGCAGUGAAAUGCGUAGAGAUGUGGAGGAAUACCGAUGGCGAAGGCAGCCCCCUGGGCCAAUACUGACGCUCAUGCACGAAAGCGUGGGGAGCAAACAGGAUUAGAUACCCUGGUAGUUCCACGCCCUAAACGAUGUCAACUAGUUGUUGGGGAUUCAUUCCUUAGUAACGUAGCUAACGCGUGAAGUUGACCGCCUGGGGAGUACGGUCGCAAGAUUAAAAC